AUUCUGGCGUCAGGAUGAACGCUGGCGGCGUGCCUAACACAUGCAAGUCGAGCGGAGAUAAGUUGAAGCCUAGCGAUUCUUAUCUUAGCGGCGGAUGGGUGAGUAACACGUGGGUAACCUGCCCUGCACUGGGGAAUAACAGUUGGAAACGGCUGUUAAUGCCGCAUAUGCGCACGGAGCCGCAUGGCUUUGGGCGGAAAGAUUUAUCGGUGCAGGAUGGGCCCGCGUCGGAUUAACUAGUUGGCGGGGUAACGGCCCACCAAGGUGAUGAUCCCUAGCCGACCUGAGAGGGUGACCGGCCACAUUGGGACUGAGACACGGCCCAAACUCCUACGGGAGGCAGCAGUGGGGGAUAUUGCACAAUGGGGGAAACCCUGAUGCAGCGACGCCGCGUGAAGGAUGAAGUAUUUCGGUAUGUAAACUUCUAUCAGCGGGGAAGAAGAUGACGGUACCCGACUAAGAAGCCCCGGCUAACUACGUGCCAGCCGCCGC
Molecule: ribosomal RNA, 492 nt
Filed under: uncultured bacterium
Lineage: Bacteria
Description: bacterial SSU rRNA
Rfam family: Bacterial small subunit ribosomal RNA
Source: RNAcentral